This 486-nucleotide ribosomal RNA is filed under the name uncultured bacterium. RNAcentral's name for it is "partial 16S ribosomal RNA". It matches the Rfam family "Bacterial small subunit ribosomal RNA", at positions 30 to 507 of the family's 1533-position model. The record is from RNAcentral.
AUUGAACGCUGGCGGCAUGCCUUACACAUGCAAGUCGAACGGCAGCACGGGUGCUUGCACCUGGUGGCGAGUGGCGAACGGGUGAGUAAUACAUCGGAACAUGUCCUGUAGUGGGGGAUAGCCCGUCGAAAGCCGGAUUAUUACCCCAUACGAUCUACGGAGGAAAGCGGGGGACCUUCGGGCCUCGCGCUUUCGGUUUGGCCGAUGGCUGAUUAGCUAGUUGGUGGGGUAAGGGCCUACCAAGGCGACGAUCAGUAGCUGGUCUGAGAGGACGACCAGCCACACUGGGACUGAGACACGGCCCAGACUCCUACGGGAGGCAGCAGUGGGGAAUUUUGGACAAUGGGCGAAAGCCUGAUCCAGCAAUGCCGCGUGUGUGAAGAAGGCCUUCGGGUUGUAAAGCACUUUUGUCCGGAAAGAAAUCCUUGGCCCUAAUACGGUCGGGGGAUGACGGUACCGGAAGAAUAAGCACCGGCUAACUACGUG